CCUACGGGCGGCAGCAGUGAGGAAUAUUGGUCAAUGGGCGCGAGCCUGAACCAGCCAAGUAGCGUGAAGGAUGACUGCCCUACGGGUUGUAAACUUCUUUUAUAAAGGAAUAAAGUGAGGCACCUGUGCCUUUUUGUAUGUACUUUAUGAAUAAGGAUCGGCUAACUCCGUGCCAGCAGCCGCGGUAAUACGGAGGAACCGAGCGUUAUCCGGAUUUAUUGGGUUUAAAGGGAUCGUAGAUGGGUUGUUAAGUCAGUUGUGAAAGUUUGCGGCUCAACCGUAAAAUUGCAAUUGAUACUGGCAGUCUUGAGUACAGUUGAGGUAGGCGGAAUUCGUGGUGUAGCGGUGAAAUGCGUAGAUAUCGGGAGGAACACCAGUGGCGAAGGCGGUUUACUGGACCACAACUGACGCUGAGACACGAAAGCGUGGGGAGCAAACAGGAUUAGAUACCCUUGUAGUC
Molecule: ribosomal RNA, 460 nt
Filed under: uncultured bacterium
Lineage: Bacteria
Description: partial 16S ribosomal RNA
Rfam family: Bacterial small subunit ribosomal RNA
Source: RNAcentral